GGUUGUGGUUUAGUGGUAGAGUGCUCACCUAGCACGUGCAAGGUGCUGGGUUUGAUCCUCAGCACCA
Molecule: transfer RNA, 67 nt
Filed under: Marmota monax (woodchuck)
Lineage: Eukaryota; Metazoa; Chordata; Mammalia; Rodentia; Sciuridae
Description: tRNA.Ala
Source: RNAcentral